Molecule: ribosomal RNA, 253 nt
Filed under: uncultured bacterium
Lineage: Bacteria
Description: partial 16S ribosomal RNA
Rfam family: Bacterial small subunit ribosomal RNA
Source: RNAcentral
UACGAAGGGGGCUAGCGUUGUUCGGAAUUACUGGGCGUAAAGCGCACGUAGGCGGACUGUUAAGUCGGGGGUGAAAGCCCAGAGCUCAACUCUGGAAUUGCCUUCGAUACUGGCAGUCUUGAGGACGGGAGAGGUGAGUGGAAUUCCUAGUGUAGAGGUGAAAUUCGUAGAUAUUAGGAAGAACACCAGUGGCGAAGGCGGCUCACUGGACCGUAUCUGACGCUGAGGUGCGAAAGCGUGGGGAGCAAACGGG